RNAcentral lists this ribosomal RNA (2926 nucleotides) under Staphylococcus aureus. Its description in RNAcentral is "23S ribosomal RNA". It matches the Rfam family "Bacterial large subunit ribosomal RNA". Lineage: Bacteria; Bacillati; Bacillota; Bacilli; Caryophanales; Staphylococcaceae. The record is from RNAcentral.
AGAUUAAGUUAUUAAGGGCGCACGGUGGAUGCCUUGGCACUAGAAGCCGAUGAAGGACGUUACUAACGACGAUAUGCUUUGGGGAGCUGUAAGUAAGCUUUGAUCCAGAGAUUUCCGAAUGGGGAAACCCAGCAUGAGUUAUGUCAUGUUAUCGAUAUGUGAAUACAUAGCAUAUCAGAAGGCACACCCGGAGAACUGAAACAUCUUAGUACCCGGAGGAAGAGAAAGAAAAUUCGAUUCCCUUAGUAGCGGCGAGCGAAACGGGAAGAGCCCAAACCAACAAGCUUGCUUGUUGGGGUUGUAGGACACUCUAUACGGAGUUACAAAGGACGACAUUAGACGAAUCAUCUGGAAAGAUGAAUCAAAGAAGGUAAUAAUCCUGUAGUCGAAAAUGUUGUCUCUCUUGAGUGGAUCCUGAGUACGACGGAGCACGUGAAAUUCCGUCGGAAUCUGGGAGGACCAUCUCCUAAGGCUAAAUACUCUCUAGUGACCGAUAGUGAACCAGUACCGUGAGGGAAAGGUGAAAAGCACCCCGGAAGGGGAGUGAAAUAGAACCUGAAACCGUGUGCUUACAAGUAGUCAGAGCCCGUUAAUGGGUGAUGGCGUGCCUUUUGUAGAAUGAACCGGCGAGUUACGAUUUGAUGCAAGGUUAAGCAGUAAAUGUGGAGCCGUAGCGAAAGCGAGUCUGAAUAGGGCGUUUAGUAUUUGGUCGUAGACCCGAAACCAGGUGAUCUACCCUUGGUCAGGUUGAAGUUCAGGUAACACUGAAUGGAGGACCGAACCGACUUACGUUGAAAAGUGAGCGGAUGAACUGAGGGUAGCGGAGAAAUUCCAAUCGAACCUGGAGAUAGCUGGUUCUCUCCGAAAUAGCUUUAGGGCUAGCCUCAAGUGAUGAUUAUUGGAGGUAGAGCACUGUUUGGACGAGGGGCCCCUCUCGGGUUACCGAAUUCAGACAAACUCCGAAUGCCAAUUAAUUUAACUUGGGAGUCAGAACAUGGGUGAUAAGGUCCGUGUUCGAAAGGGAAACAGCCCAGACCACCAGCUAAGGUCCCAAAAUAUAUGUUAAGUGGAAAAGGAUGUGGCGUUGCCCAGACAACUAGGAUGUUGGCUUAGAAGCAGCCAUCAUUUAAAGAGUGCGUAAUAGCUCACUAGUCGAGUGACACUGCGCCGAAAAUGUACCGGGGCUAAACAUAUUACCGAAGCUGUGGAUUGUCCUUUGGACAAUGGUAGGAGAGCGUUCUAAGGGCGUUGAAGCAUGAUCGUAAGGACAUGUGGAGCGCUUAGAAGUGAGAAUGCCGGUGUGAGUAGCGAAAGACGGGUGAGAAUCCCGUCCACCGAUUGACUAAGGUUUCCAGAGGAAGGCUCGUCCGCUCUGGGUUAGUCGGGUCCUAAGCUGAGGCCGACAGGCGUAGGCGAUGGAUAACAGGUUGAUAUUCCUGUACCACCUAUAAUCGUUUUAAUCGAUGGGGGGACGCAGUAGGAUAGGCGAAGCGUGCGAUUGGAUUGCACGUCUAAGCAGUAAGGCUGAGUAUUAGGCAAAUCCGGUACUCAUUAAGGCUGAGCUGUGAUGGGGAGAAGACAUUGUGUCUUCGAGUCGUUGAUUUCACACUGCCGAGAAAAGCCUCUAGAUAGAAAAUAGGUGCCCGUACCGCAAACCGACACAGGUAGUCAAGAUGAGAAUUCUAAGGUGAGCGAGCGAACUCUCGUUAAGGAACUCGGCAAAAUGACCCCGUAACUUCGGGAGAAGGGGUGCUCUUUAGGGUUAACGCCCAGAAGAGCCGCAGUGAAUAGGCCCAAGCGACUGUUUAUCAAAAACACAGGUCUCUGCUAAACCGUAAGGUGAUGUAUAGGGGCUGACGCCUGCCCGGUGCUGGAAGGUUAAGAGGAGUGGUUAGCUUCUGCGAAGCUACGAAUCGAAGCCCCAGUAAACGGCGGCCGUAACUAUAACGGUCCUAAGGUAGCGAAAUUCCUUGUCGGGUAAGUUCCGACCCGCACGAAAGGCGUAACGAUUUGGGCACUGUCUCAACGAGAGACUCGGUGAAAUCAUAGUACCUGUGAAGAUGCAGGUUACCCGCGACAGGACGGAAAGACCCCGUGGAGCUUUACUGUAGCCUGAUAUUGAAAUUCGGCACAGCUUGUACAGGAUAGGUAGGAGCCUUUGAAACGUGAGCGCUAGCUUACGUGGAGGCGCUGGUGGGAUACUACCCUAGCUGUGUUGGCUUUCUAACCCGCACCACUUAUCGUGGUGGGAGACAGUGUCAGGCGGGCAGUUUGACUGGGGCGGUCGCCUCCUAAAAGGUAACGGAGGCGCUCAAAGGUUCCCUCAGAAUGGUUGGAAAUCAUUCAUAGAGUGUAAAGGCAUAAGGGAGCUUGACUGCGAGACCUACAAGUCGAGCAGGGUCGAAAGACGGACUUAGUGAUCCGGUGGUUCCGCAUGGAAGGGCCAUCGCUCAACGGAUAAAAGCUACCCCGGGGAUAACAGGCUUAUCUCCCCCAAGAGUUCACAUCGACGGGGAGGUUUGGCACCUCGAUGUCGGCUCAUCGCAUCCUGGGGCUGUAGUCGGUCCCAAGGGUUGGGCUGUUCGCCCAUUAAAGCGGUACGCGAGCUGGGUUCAGAACGUCGUGAGACAGUUCGGUCCCUAUCCGUCGUGGGCGUAGGAAAUUUGAGAGGAGCUGUCCUUAGUACGAGAGGACCGGGAUGGACAUACCUCUGGUGUACCAGUUGUCGUGCCAACGGCAUAGCUGGGUAGCUAUGUGUGGACGGGAUAAGUGCUGAAAGCAUCUAAGCAUGAAGCCCCCUCAAGAUGAGAUUUCCCAACUUCGGUUAUAAGAUCCCUCAAAGAUGAUGAGGUUAAUAGGUUCGAGGUGGAAGCAUGGUGACAUGUGGAGCUGACGAAUACUAAUCGAUCGAAGACUUAAUCAAAUU